UGGACACACCCUGGGUUAAAAAGGGGUUUAAGCUCAUUGAGGAGAGUUUGGUGAAAUGGAAGCACUUACCUGCCGAAGAUGUCACGUGGGAAAACACUAAAGAUUUACUGGAACAAUUUGCCUCACUGAACCUGAGGAUAAGGUUCAUGUAAAAAGGAGGAGCGAUGAUAAGCCCCGUCGAUCAUAAAGGCAGUCAUGUCGAAACCCGAAAUAUAUGGAAUGAACUAUUCAUGUUGCAGACCCACGACGCAGCCACGAAAAACAAGGACAACAGGACUCAGU
RNAcentral lists this long non-coding RNA (282 nucleotides) under Carica papaya (papaya). RNAcentral's name for it is "long non-coding RNA (CPAP_LNC015993)". The record is from RNAcentral. Lineage: Eukaryota; Viridiplantae; Streptophyta; Magnoliopsida; Brassicales; Caricaceae.